Molecule: ribosomal RNA, 403 nt
Filed under: uncultured bacterium
Lineage: Bacteria
Description: bacterial SSU rRNA
Rfam family: Bacterial small subunit ribosomal RNA
Source: RNAcentral
GGGGAAUUUUCCGCAAUGGGCGAAAGCCUGACGGAGCGACGCCGCGUGGAGGAUGAAGUAUUUCGGUAUGUAAACUCCUGUCAUCAGGGACGAAAGAAAUGACGGUACCUGAGGAGGAAGCAUCGGCUAACUACGUGCCAGCAGCCGCGGUAAUACGUAGGAUGCAAGCGUUGUUCGGAAUUACUGGGCGUAAAGCGUACGUAGGCGGUGACAUAAGUUUAAUAUUAAAGACCGAAGCUCAACUUCGGGAAUGUAUUGAAUACUGUGUCGCUAGAGGUUAAUAGAGGAAAUCGGAAUUCCCAGUGUAGCGGUGAAAUGCGUAGAUAUUGGGAAGAACACCGGUGGCGAAAGCGGAUUUCUGGGUUAAUACUGACGCUGAGGUACGAAAGUGUGGGGAGCAAAC